AUUGAACGCUGGCGGCAUGCCUUACACAUGCAAGUCGAACGGUAACGGGCCUUCGGGUGCCGACGAGUGGCGAACGGGUGAGUAAUACAUCGGAACGUGCCCGAUCGUGGGGGAUAACGAGGCGAAAGCUUUGCUAAUACCGCAUACGAUCUACGGAUGAAAGCAGGGGGCCGCAAGGCCUUGCGCGGACGGAGCGGCCGAUGGCAGAUUAGGUAGUUGGUGGGAUAAAAGCUUACCAAGCCGACGAUCUGUAGCUGGUCUGAGAGGAUGAUCAGCCACACUGGGGCUGAGACACGGCCCAGACUCCUACGGGAGGCAGCAGUGGGGAAUUUUGGACAAUGGGCGCAAGCCUGAUCCAGCCAUGCCGCGUGCAGGAUGAAGGCCUUCGGGUUGUAAACUGCUUUUGUACGGAACGAAAAGCCUUCUUUUAAUACAGGAGGGUCAUGACGGUACCGUAUGAAUAAGCACCGGCUAACUACGUG
RNAcentral lists this ribosomal RNA (482 nucleotides) under uncultured bacterium. Its description in RNAcentral is "partial 16S ribosomal RNA". It matches the Rfam family "Bacterial small subunit ribosomal RNA", at positions 30 to 507 of the family's 1533-position model. The record is from RNAcentral.